GACGAACGCUGGCGGCGUGCUUAACACAUGCAAGUCGAACGGAAAGGCCCUGCUUUUGUGGGGUGCUCGAGUGGCGAACGGGUGAGUAACACGUGAGUAACCUGCCCUUGACUUUGGGAUAACUUCAGGAAACUGGGGCUCAUACCGGAUAGGAGCUCCUGCUGCAUGGUGGGGGUUGGAAAGUUUCGGCGGUUGGGGAUGGACUCGCGGCUUAUCAGCUUGUUGGUGGGGUAGUGGCUUACCAAGGCUUUGACGGGUAGCCGGCCUGAGAGGGUGACCGGCGACAAUGGGACUGAGAUACGGCCCAGACGCCUACGGGAGGCAGCAGUGGGGAAUAUUGCGCAAUGGGGGGAAGCCUGAUGCAGCAACGCCGCGUGCGGGAUGACGGCCUUCGGGUUGUAAACCGCUUUCGCCUGUGACGAAGCGUGAGUGACGGUAAUGGGUAAAGAAGCACCGGCUAACUACGUG
RNAcentral lists this ribosomal RNA (468 nucleotides) under uncultured bacterium. RNAcentral describes it as "partial 16S ribosomal RNA". It matches the Rfam family "Bacterial small subunit ribosomal RNA", at positions 28 to 507 of the family's 1533-position model. The record is from RNAcentral.